This 256-nucleotide ribosomal RNA is filed under the name uncultured bacterium. RNAcentral's name for it is "partial 16S ribosomal RNA". It matches the Rfam family "Bacterial small subunit ribosomal RNA", at positions 524 to 779 of the family's 1533-position model. The record is from RNAcentral.
UACGUAGGGUGCGAGCGUUGUCCGGAAUUACUGGGCGUAAAGCGCACGUAGGCGGCUUUCUAAGUCGGGGGUGAAAUCCUGGAGCUCAACUCCAGAACUGCCUUCGAUACUGGAAAGCUCGAGUCCGGGAGAGGUGAGUGGAACUGCGAGUGUAGAGGUGAAAUUCGUAGAUAUUCGCAAGAACACCAGUGGCGAAGGCGGCUCACUGGCCCGGUACUGACGCUGAGGUGCGAAAGCCAGGGGAGCAAAGCGGGAU